This 1258-nucleotide long non-coding RNA is filed under the name Homo sapiens (human). RNAcentral's name for it is "HSALNT0396236". The record is from RNAcentral. Lineage: Eukaryota; Metazoa; Chordata; Mammalia; Primates; Hominidae.
UGAAGAGAGAGGAGGAGCGUUUGCGGCCUCAGCGUCUGUCAACAGAACCCUCUUCACCCGUGGUUAAACCCUCCCUAACCCUGAGCUCGUGCUCCCCUCCCGGUGGACGCAGACCUGACCACAGAAGCCCUGCAGCACUCACUGGGGGCUUGAGGGAGCCCCUGAGUCCCCUCCACCCUCGCCGCCUUCUCCUGGGUACCCAGGAAACGUCUCCAAGGGAGGCUGUGACCCAGGACCCCGCCUCGACCUCACCUUCUUCUGUAAGGCGCAGUGAAAGACGAAGAUGAAGACCCCCUGGAAGGCGUUGAAGGUGGUGAAGAGAUAGGCCAUGACCACCGACUCCUUGUUGAUGAAGAGGAGGCCGAAAGCCCAGUGAGAGCCUCGAAGAUGUAAUCACAGAGAGAGAGAGAGAGAGAGAGAGCGAGAGAGAGACAGAGAGAGGAGCAUCGGCUCACCAAGAAGGCCUGUCCUGGUCCCAGGGGCCACAGCGGGAUGGCCCCUACCAACCUGGCCCAGCCGACUUGUUGGAGGAGAAACCUGGACACAGACAUGCACAGAAGACCAUGUGACCAUGAAGGCAGAGAUCAGAGUGAUGCUUCUAGAAGCCAGGGAAGAUUGCCAGUUAAUGACCAAAAGAAGCCAGGAGACAGGCCUGCAACGGAUUCUGCCUGAAGGCUCCCAGAAGGAACCAACCCUGACAACACCUUGAUCUUGGACUUCCAACCUCCAGAGCUGGGAGGCGACACAAUUCUGUUGUUGGCUGCAGUGGCUCACGCCUGUAAUCCCAGCACUUUGGGAGGCCAAGGCGGGAGAAUUGCUUGAGCCCAGGAGUUUGAGACCAGCCUGGGCAACACAGUGAGACCCCAGCUCUACAAACAAAUAUAAAAAAGUAGCUGGGCAUGAUGGGAUGCACCUGUAGUCCCAGCUGCUCGGGAGGCUGAGGCUGCAGUGACCUGUGAUCGCACCAGUACACUUCAGCCUGGGCAAUAGAGCAAGACCUCAUCUCUGAAACAUAAACAAAAAAACCAAUAAAGUCUCUGUUGCUAAAGCUGUCCCGUCUGUGGUAAUUUGUUGUGGGAGCCUAGGAAAUUCAUAUAGGGAGUCAGGACACAAAGAGAGUGAGGAGGGAGGCAGAGAUGGGGGCAAGGGCCUGAGCCACAGAACUUUAAAGAAACCAUUUACAGGAAACAGCAAACGACAGGGUGAGCAUCUAGCUGGGCUCUCCAGCAAGGAACCACCUGAGAUGCCUGGGACAGUG